UGCCCUGCCGAAACCUCCCGCCUCUCCACCCCCCCGAGCAGUGUGAAUUCUUUUUAUUUUACUUUUAUUUUACUUUCUGUCUGCAACAGGCUGCUUUUAAAAUCACAUUUGGAUAGCACGCACGAUUUUUGGAGGAUAGUAUGCCUUUUUGCUUAACCGCUACAAGAAAAUGGCACAAGUAACGUGAUUCUGAAUUACGGGCCUGUAAACUUCAAAUAACACUUUUCGUUAGUAGCUAAUUGGUGGUUCACAACUUCCACUCUGGUUCUGCCAAACCACGUGUGUGCAAAGGGGUGCGUGCCGUGCUCGUUGUGCUUGCGCUCCCCAUCUCCUUGUCUUUUUCUUUGAAACCACAGUGUUGAUUCAAGCCGCUUUAAGAAAAUUUUCAAAUGCUUCCAUUACAUGUUGAAAAACAUACAGGAAUGGAUUAAGCAAAAUGUCUAAAUUUAUAAUAUCAGGACAAAGCGUAAUCCUCGCAUGCUCCUCUGCCUUUCUUUUACAAUUUGACACGAAGAAAGCGAGUAUCCAAAAAAAUGAUUGUGCAAUGGCUGCAAAUUGAACCCCCCCAAAGUCCUGUAGUAAUAGCGCGUAUCAGAAAUACAUGGCUUAAACAGGAUGUUUCCAGCAAAUGCAACUGUACGUCAGAAUUGGAAGUGGGGAUCCCAAGGCAAAUAAUUCUAAUGCAGAAAGAGCAAAAACUGGGCAGGGGAAGAGCGAUGAAAACAGAGGACUCCAAGGUGCUGGAGGACUUGGUGGACAAGGAGAAAAGGACAAAGAGGUGGCUAAGAGGUGGUUGAAAGAUUGAAUGAAGAAUUGUGGAAGCAGAGCAAGUACCAAGGUGGGAGAUAAGAAAUAUCUAUCAUCAAGCCACAAAGUGGAAACCAGCACUUGUUGAAUAGGAAUAAGACUGGUAUGAAGGUGGGUCAGGCAGGAGAGCAUGCAUAAAGGAUCAGGCUUGUGAAAGAGAGAGGGAAGGAGCUUUGCUGCCUUCCAGAGCAGAAGAUGCGUAAAUCUCACUCUACUUGUCAGGAUGUAUAAUUACUCAUUUCCUCGAGUGACAGGGGCCUGUUAAAAUGUUGUUUCUGUCCUUGCAAAAGAAUUAUGCAGGUGUCAGUAUGUUACCAUAGGACAGAAUUUUGUUUUUUCAGUUAUUCAUUCAAUUAUUGUUUUUAAAAUACUGCAAGAGACUAAAGAGACAAAAACAAAUCCCAAAUUCCCCCCAAAACCCCACAGAGAUUUGUAAAAUAAAGCACUUCAAUGAGGAAAUGCCA
RNAcentral lists this long non-coding RNA (1271 nucleotides) under Apteryx haastii (Great spotted kiwi). RNAcentral's name for it is "lncRNA (ENSAHAG00000008251.1)". The record is from RNAcentral. Lineage: Eukaryota; Metazoa; Chordata; Aves; Apterygiformes; Apterygidae.